ACGGGGGGGGCAAGCGUUGUCCGGAAUUAUUGGGCGUAAAGGGCGCGUAGGUGGGACAGCAAGUCUGGGGUGCAAUCUUACGGCUUAACUGUAAGCUUGCCUUGGAUACUACUGUUCUUGAGUUCGGAAGAGGGAAGUGGAAUUCCUGGUGUAGCGGUGAAAUGCGUAGAGAUUAGGAAGAACACCGGUGGCGAAGGCGACUUACUGGUCCGUAACUGACGCUGAUGCGCGAAAGUGUGGGGAGCAAACAG
RNAcentral lists this ribosomal RNA (251 nucleotides) under uncultured prokaryote. RNAcentral's name for it is "partial 16S rRNA". It matches the Rfam family "Bacterial small subunit ribosomal RNA", at positions 525 to 775 of the family's 1533-position model. The record is from RNAcentral.